This 482-nucleotide ribosomal RNA is filed under the name uncultured bacterium. Its description in RNAcentral is "partial 16S ribosomal RNA". It matches the Rfam family "Bacterial small subunit ribosomal RNA", at positions 28 to 507 of the family's 1533-position model. The record is from RNAcentral.
GACGAACGCUGGCGGCGUGCUUAACACAUGCAAGUCGAACGCUGAAGCUCAGCUUGCUGGGUGGAUGAGUGGCGAACGGGUGAGUAACACGUGAGUAACCUGCCCUCUUCUUUGGGAUAACGCCCGGAAACGGGUGCUAAUACUGGAUAUUCACUGAUUCUCGCAUGGGGGUUGGUGGAAAGGUUUUUUCUGGUGGGGGAUGGGCUCGCGGCCUAUCAGCUUGUUGGUGGGGUGAUGGCCUACCAAGGCUUUGACGGGUAGCCGGCCUGAGAGGGUGACCGGUCACAUUGGGACUGAGAUACGGCCCAGACGGCUACGGGAGGCAGCAGUGGGGAAUAUUGCACAAUGGGCGAAAGCCUGAUGCAGCGACGCCGCGUGAGGGAUGGAGGCCUUCGGGGUGUAAACCUCUUUCGCUCAUGGUCAAGCCGCAGCUUUGGGUUGUGGUGAGGGUAGUGGGUAAAGAAGCGCCGGCUAACUACGUG